GCGCUGUUAAAUUUGGUCACCUGUCAGCUGCGCUACUGUUUUAGCACCGGUAAAGCGUCAAGUAAUGAUACUGCGCUGACAAACGGUUUAUACUCACCACCGAAAUGAAGCUUAUGAUAAAUAAAAUACUGCUCCUUGCUGUUCACUGAUUCAAGGUCGUUCAGUGGCUACCAUUGGCCGAUCUCACCAACGGGAUAUAAUAAGAACUGAUUAAGGUUUAUAUCUAUAUAUGUCAACUUUGGAAGUAGUGCGCUGGAUUCGCCCAAAGAUAUGCUAAUCAACGCAUCAAUUAGUUUGACAGAAAAACUUCGGUUCGAAGGUCCAGAAUUCUAAUUUGGUGUUACGCCGACAAUGUGUGUUCAAAAAUUCUUCUUCUUCUCUAUUAGCAACAGUUACGGCGUGUUUGGCGAGUAUAGCGGGCUGCGUCACUUUCAGCGUUUAUGCACCCGUAGCCAAGU
Molecule: long non-coding RNA, 458 nt
Organism: Armigeres subalbatus
Lineage: Eukaryota; Metazoa; Arthropoda; Insecta; Diptera; Culicidae
Exons: 3
Source: RefSeq, a predicted model, not a curated record